This is a non-coding RNA of Sphaeramia orbicularis (orbiculate cardinalfish), 438 nucleotides long. The record is from the annotation of a RefSeq genome assembly. Lineage: Eukaryota; Metazoa; Chordata; Actinopteri; Kurtiformes; Apogonidae.
CACACCGUCCUCAUCCUGGUUUUAGCUCUACUCUGCUUCAAAGGUUUUACAGAAGGGAACGAUGUAAAGCAGACUCGGAUUCUGUGGAAAGAGAUGGGACAAACAGCCACCAUGAACUGCAGUCACACUAAGGGUGGAAGCUACUACCAGAUGUACUGGUACCGACAGCUGCCAGGACAGAACAUGGAGCAGAUGGUGUUCACAAUGACUACUUCUAAACCCGACUUUGAACCAGACUUCAGAAACGACAGGUUCUCCACCACCAAACCUGACGCUGACAGUGGAACGUUGACGGUGCAGAACCUGGAGUACGCAGAUACAGGCGUGUACUUCUGUUCUGUUCACUUGUGUUUCUACAGCCUCCACAACAUGGACCAGGUCCAACACACCGUCCUCAUCCUGGUUUUAGCUCUACUCUGCUUCAAAGGUAAACAGUAG